AGCGAACGCUGGCGGCAGGCCUAACACAUGCAAGUCGAGCGCCGUAGCAAUACGGAGCGGCAGACGGGAGAGUAACACGUGGGAACGUGCCCUUUGGUUCGGAACAACCCAGGGAAACUUGGGCUAAUACCGGAUAAGCCCUUACGGGGAAAGAUUUAUCGCCGAAGGAUCGGCCCGCGUCUGAUUAGCUAGUUGGUGGGGUAAUGGCCCACCAAGGCGACGAUCAGUAGCUGGUCUGAGAGGAUGAUUAGCCUCACUGGGACAGAGACACGGCCCAGACUCCUACGGGAGGCAGCAGUGGGGAAUAUUGGUCAAUGGGCGCAAGCCUGAUCCAGCCAUGCCGCGUGGGUGAUGAAGGCCCUAGGGUUGUAAAGCCCUUUCGGCGGGGAAGAUAAUGACGGUACCCGCAGAAGAAGCCCCGGCUAACUUCGUGCCAGCCGCCGCAGUAA
RNAcentral lists this ribosomal RNA (449 nucleotides) under uncultured bacterium. RNAcentral's name for it is "partial 16S ribosomal RNA". It matches the Rfam family "Bacterial small subunit ribosomal RNA", at positions 29 to 523 of the family's 1533-position model. The record is from RNAcentral.